RNAcentral lists this ribosomal RNA (253 nucleotides) under uncultured bacterium. Its description in RNAcentral is "partial 16S ribosomal RNA". It matches the Rfam family "Bacterial small subunit ribosomal RNA", at positions 524 to 776 of the family's 1533-position model. The record is from RNAcentral.
UACGGAGGGGGCUAGCGUUGUUCGGAAUUACUGGGCGUAAAGCGCACGUAGGCGGCUUUGUAAGUUAGAGGUGAAAGCCCAGGGCUUAACCCUGGAAUUGCCUUUAAGACUGCAUCGCUAGAAUUGUGGAGAGGUAAGUGGAAUUCCGAGUGUAGAGGUGAAAUUCGUAGAUAUUCGGAGGAACACCAGUGGCGAAGGCGGCUCACUGGCUCGACACUGACGCUGAGGUGCGAAAGCGUGGGGAGCAAACAGG